UAUGAAACCUCAUGGGCAGUUGCAAGGAUGGUAGAAACAAAUUAAAUGAAACCAUAACCUCACUUCUGUUCUGUUUUUAAAGGUACGAGAAUGUAAAUACUGAAUAACAUUACGCCGAACUGAAAUGAGAAUUCGCCGUCCUAGAACCUUGACCAGUGGGAAUGUAAUAUUUGCUACGAUUCUUGGUACGAUCGGAGGUGUUUAUAUUUGGAAACCAUUCUGGAAAGAGCAAAUGAGUAAAAGAAUUGUUGAAAAACCAGAAGCAAAGUAAAAUAUGAAGUUUUAAAUCUGUACCAGUGUGUAAGACCUCCGUGGAAGAAGAGUGAAAUAAAGUCUGUGGAAAUUGCAACUUUAAAUACACAAAAUGAAAAGAUCUGGACUGUUCAGCCUUGUAAACAGUCAUCCCGUAACACUAAUGGCUGCAGGACUUGUUGCUACCUGUGGUAUAUUAUUUACAUAUCACAAAGUUAUAAAACCUGUUUUAAAAAAAAGAAAAUAUGAAGAAGCAAAGGGUUAUGCAGAAUAUUUAUUUCAAGAAGAAUCAAAGAAACCGAACUCCUAAAGAAGCCACACAAUGUAACCAAGUAAAAGCACUGAAGUUGACAUACGUGAAAUGUGCACAAAAUAGUAAUUUAAUAUUAAAUUAGUUUUGAAAAGAAGGUUCUCCAAUAUGUUACAAUCCUUUACUGUGUUUGGCAGACUAGGAAUUCCUAUUAAAAUAUGUACUGUUGUUUGCUCCUGAAAUUAUAGUGUAGUCACAACUAUUAAUCAAUUCUGCAUUUAAUUAUUUUAAACCUUUUUGUCUUUAGUCUGAAUUUUUCCCUGACUGCCUCUCAUUUAAUGUAAUUUAAAUAUCUUGCAAGAGCUCAACAUUUGGGUCUCUUAUAAGCUAAAGGUUAACCUUUUCUGACUAUGCACAGAAGUGUUUAUUUAGUACGAGAAACCUUAAGUUUUUGUGCUAAAAGGAUGAAUUGAUAAUAAAAAUUUUAUAAACCUUAAAAUCAAGUAGAAACUGAAUGAUUUAUUAAAAAUUAUGCUCACAAAUGCUAUAAAUUUCAGAAUUCAUGUCAUUUGUUCCAAAAAAACAUGCUGUGGUUUGCUAUACCAAAUGGUAUAAAAAAAUUGAUCCAUAAAAAUAAGGAUAUCUUUCACUUCUUAGCAACUUUUCUGACCUACAGCUGAAGCAGAAUGUUUCAACAUUGCAUCCCAUCACUAGAAUUAAAGAAACCUGAUUAAAGAAAAACUUAAUGUACUUCGUUAUGUAAACAAACAAGACACAAUAAAAGGAUAUCACUCAA
Zootermopsis nevadensis is the source of this 1298-nucleotide long non-coding RNA. RefSeq lists it as uncharacterized. NCBI's taxonomy places the organism in Eukaryota, Metazoa, Arthropoda, Insecta, Blattodea, Termopsidae. The record is from RefSeq and is a predicted model, not a curated record.